UUCUAGUGAUGUUUCUUCAAUUCUUCAAUUCUAAGGGAGAGAAGAGCUGACAAUAUGACCACGGUAGGCUGAUGGAGCAUUUCCAUCUUAUCAAAUUUAUCUUCAGUUCUCAGAGAGAAAAGAAAAUGUUGCACAGAAAACAUUCCAGAGUUUUUGCUUAGUUCCAAUGUCAACAUCGGAACAAGAAGAACGGGCAUCCCCUACUUAAAUGAGAAGAGCCAACAUGAAGGGCUUGGAACUCACGACAGGAAAUCAGUUCUAAAGUGUUGAGAUAAACACACCAAUUUUCUUCCUUCCACAUGCUAUUUCCACAUAAACUUUAACUUCGAGUUAGACCUGUUUGACGGGAGAAGAAAAAGGAUGAAAUUACAAACAGUGGUGGCAGAUUAUCAACAUCAGCGGCAAUCCAAAAAACACUUGAGACGCAAAACAUUUUCUUUGGAUAUCUGACAUUUUUUAGUCAUCAUAAUCUUCUGAGUUUGUGCAAGGAAUAAUAAAUUCCCU
This 504-nucleotide long non-coding RNA is filed under the name Monodelphis domestica (gray short-tailed opossum). RNAcentral's name for it is "lncRNA (ENSMODG00000039620.1)". Lineage: Eukaryota; Metazoa; Chordata; Mammalia; Didelphimorphia; Didelphidae. The record is from RNAcentral.